GUUGUAUAUGCAUUGGCACAUCUCAUUUCCAUGGAGAAUAUUUGGCCUAACCCCUCAGUCACAGUCUAAUGACUUUGAAACUUAUCUUAGUUUACAUGUAUUAGUUUGUGAUUAGAUCAGUUAAAGAUGAACUGCUAAUGUUAAGUCAAUGAUAUUUGGUAUGUACAUUUAUUAUCAUUUGCAAGUAUCGUUUCCAUGGAAAUUAUAUAGCCCCACC
RNAcentral lists this long non-coding RNA (217 nucleotides) under Mytilus galloprovincialis (Mediterranean mussel). Lineage: Eukaryota; Metazoa; Mollusca; Bivalvia; Mytilida; Mytilidae. The record is from RNAcentral.